UUCCGGUUGAUCCUGCCGGACCCCACUGCUAUCGGGAUGAGACUAAGACAUGCUAGUCGUGCACCUCCAGGCCACGGUGGAGGCGCGGCGCACAGCUCAGUAACACGUGGCUAACCUACCCUUGGGACGGAAAUAACCCCGGGAAACUGGGGCUAAUUUCCGAUAGGUGAAGAUUCCUGGAAUGGAUCUUCGCCGAAAAGGCGUCUAGACCAUGCUUCUAGGCGCUGCCCAAGGAUGGGGCCGCGGCCGAUCAGGUUGUUGGUGAGGUAACGGCUCACCAAGCCUAUAACCGGUACGGGCCGUGGGAGCGGUAGCCCGGAGAUGGGCACUGAGACAAGGGCCCAGGCCCUACGGGGCGCAGCAGUCGCGAAACCUCCGCAAUACGCGAAAGCGUGACGGGGUCAUCCCGAGUGCCGUCUGCUGAGGAUGGCUUUUCCCCAGUGUAGACAGCUGGGGGAAUAAGGAGAGGGCAAGCCGGGUGUCAGCCGCCGCGGUAAUACCCGCUCUCCGAGUGGUGGGGACGCUUAUUGGGCCUAAAGCAUCCGUAGCCGGCUGGAUAAGUCCCCUGUUAAAUCCAGCGAUUCAAUCGUUGGACUGCGGGGGAUACUGUCCAGCUAGGGGGCGGGAGAGGCCGACGGUAUUCCCGGGGUAGGGGUGAAAUCUUAUAAUCCCGGGAGGACCACCAGUGGCGAAGGCUGUCGGCUAGAACGCGCCCGACGGUGAGGGAUGAAAGCUGGGGGAGCGAACCGGAUUAGAUACCCGGGUAGUCCCAGCUGUAAACGAUGCAGGCUAGGUGUUAACGCGGCUACGCGCCGCGUUAGUGCCGCAGGGAAGCUGUUAAGCCUGCCGCCUGGGGAGUACGGCCGCAAGGCUGAAACUUAAAGGAAUUGGCGGGGGAGCACCACAAGGGGUGAAGCUUGCGGUUUAAUUGGAGUCAACGCC
Molecule: ribosomal RNA, 942 nt
Filed under: uncultured archaeon
Lineage: Archaea
Description: bacterial SSU rRNA
Rfam family: Archaeal small subunit ribosomal RNA
Source: RNAcentral